Long non-coding RNA from Rattus norvegicus (Norway rat), 421 nucleotides. RefSeq lists it as uncharacterized. The record is from RefSeq and is a predicted model, not a curated record. NCBI's taxonomy places the organism in Eukaryota, Metazoa, Chordata, Mammalia, Rodentia, Muridae.
GGAGAGAUCGAGGGGCUUGGCAGAGAACCAAGCUCCUUGCUCAGUCAGCGUGAGUCACACAGACCAGAGCUUCUCUGGAGAUCAGAUGGAAGCUGGGGGAAGGGUGACCAGAGUGAGAGCAGGUGUGCAGGGCGAGGCUGAGCUGGGUGUGUGUGUCUGUUCACUGUGUAGUCGCCAAGCUGCUGAACGUGAAAUCAUAACAGAUCACCCAUCCUGAGAAGCGAACUACGCAGUUGUAAGACCCCAGCAAAACCGACAGCAUGGUUUAUAAAUUAUUCUGGAUCAUUGGCCGCCACUCAUCCGUAAUCCUUUCAUCCCACAAGCCCUGGCUGCAUGAUUUUUGAUGUCUUCAUCGGAUGGUAAUUUCGCAUCAUCAUUUACUACAGAGAGGAUUAAAAGAUAACUCCAUCUUUCUGGUGUG